AUGCACAGUUUCCAACCAAAUGGACUUGGCAUGCACAAGAGAAAGAAUGGAGGAAAAGGCGUGGUGGAAAAAAACAUAGGCAGGAUUUACUAUGCACAACCAACGAGCGGUGAAAAAUACUACUUGAGAAUGAUGUUAAAUACCGUCAAAGGAUGCAGAUCAUAUGAAGAAAUUCGAACAGUUGAUGGGGUUGUACAUCCAACAUUCAAAUCCGCAUGUUAUGCUCUUGGGCUACUUAAUGACGACAAAGAGUGGGAUGACUGCAUCAAGGAAGCAUCCCAUUGGGCCUCUGCUCCUCAAAUGCGCCAACUUUUCUGCACAAUACUUUUAUUUUGUGAGGUGAAGGAUCCCGUAAAGUUGUGGCAAAAAAAUUGGGAGUUACUAUCUGAGGAUAUCCAACGUCGGCAAAGAAGAAUAUUCAAUUUUCAGGCCCUAGAACUCAACUCGGCACUAAUAAAGAGCCUGCUCAUGGCAGAGAUAGAACAACUAUUGACUAAAGGUGGUAAGUCCCUCAAAGAUUUUCCAGGAAUGCCACUACCAGAUAGUUCAGUUCUUCAAGAUCUAAAUAAUAGAUUAGUAAAUGAGGAACUAAACUAUGAUAAAGAUUCUUUAAGAAUAGAACACAUGAAGUUACUGCAUAAGCUAAAUCAGGAUCAGAGGAUGGCUUUUGACGUUAUAAUAGAAUCAGUCAAUGACAGUCUUGGAAAAUUGAUUUUUGUUGACGGAUAUGGUGGAACUGGAAAGACAUUUUUGUGGAAAGCAGUCAUGACAAAAUUAAGAUCUAAAGGAAAAAUAGUUCUAGCAGUUGCUUCAAGUGGUAUAGCAGCACUUCUUUUACAGGGUGGAAGAACAGCUCAUUCAAGAUUUCACAUUCCCCUCAAGAUCACUAACGAGUCCACAUGCAACAUCAAGCAAGGAACAUUUCUUGCGGAGCUAAUAAAGAAAACGUCACUGAUAAUAUGGGAUGAAGCACCUAUGACACACAAGCACUGUUUUGAGGCACUAGAUAAGAGUUUGAGAGACAUACUUCGAUUCACAUAUGCGGACGCAGAGCAUAGACCAUUUGGAGGAAUGACAGUAGUCUUGGGAGGUGACUUCAGGCAAAUCCUACCAGUUAUACCAAAGGGGAAAGGGAACAUAUCAUUUCUGCAUCAAUAA
RNAcentral lists this ribosomal RNA (1158 nucleotides) under Triticum aestivum (bread wheat). Its description in RNAcentral is "partial small subunit ribosomal RNA". The record is from RNAcentral. Lineage: Eukaryota; Viridiplantae; Streptophyta; Magnoliopsida; Poales; Poaceae.